UUCACUAGUGAUUAGAGUUUGAUCCUGGCUCAGGACGAACGCUGGCGGCGUGCUUAACACAUGCAAGUGGAGCGACGAACCAGGCUUCGGCCUGGGGCAGAGCCGCGAACGGGUGAGUAACACGUGGGUAACGUGCCCCGAUGACUGGGACAACCCGGGGAAACCCGGGCUAAUACCGGAUGUGCCCUCCUCACACCAGUGAGACGGGGAGAGGAAGCUUCGGCCUCCGCAUCGGGAUCGGCCCGCGGCCCAUUAGCUUGUUGGUGAGGUAAAGGCUCACCAAGGCCGCGAUGGGUAGCUGGUCUGAGAGGACGAUCAGCCACACUGGGACUGAGACACGGCCCAGACUCCUACGGGAGGCAGCAGCGGGGAAUCUUGCUCAAUGCGCGACAGCGUGACGCAGCAACGCCGCGUGGGGGAAGAAGGCCUUCGGGUUGUAAACCCCUUUCAGGAGGGACGAAGCCCGGGCCGUUAAUAGCGGUCCCGGGUGACGGUACCUCCACAAGAAGCCCCGGCUAACUACGUGCCAGCAGCCGCGGUAAUACGUAGGGGGCAAGCGUUGUCCGGAAUCAUUGGGCGUAAAGAGCGUGUAGGCGGUCCGGUCAGUCGGUUGUGAAAGUCAAGGGCUCAACCCUUGAAUGCCGGCCGAUACUGCCGGGCUAGAGUCCGGAAGAGGUGAGUGGAAUUCCUGGUGUAGCGGUGAAAUGCGCAGAUAUCAUGAGGAACACCGAUGGCGAAAGCAGCUCACUGGGGCGGUACUGACGCUGAGACGCGAAAGCGUGGGGAGCAACAGGAUUAGAUACCCUGGUUAGUCCACGCCGUAAACGAUGGGCACCUAGUGUGGGAGGUGUCGACUCCUCCCGUGCCGAAGCUAACGCAUUAAGUGCCCCGCCUGGGGAGUACGGCGCAAGGCUAAACUCAAAGGAAUUGACGGGGGCCCGCCACAGCAGCGGAGCAUGUGGUUCAUUCGACGCAACGCGAAAACCCUUACCUGGG
RNAcentral lists this ribosomal RNA (996 nucleotides) under uncultured bacterium. Its description in RNAcentral is "bacterial SSU rRNA". It matches the Rfam family "Bacterial small subunit ribosomal RNA", at positions 1 to 979 of the family's 1533-position model. The record is from RNAcentral.